This 313-nucleotide unclassified non-coding RNA is filed under the name plant metagenome. RNAcentral's name for it is "partial contains 5.8S ribosomal RNA, internal transcribed spacer 2, and large subunit ribosomal RNA". The stretch from base 1 to 105 matches the Rfam family "5.8S ribosomal RNA", at positions 50 to 154 of the family's 154-position model. The record is from RNAcentral.
GAAAUGCGAUAAGUAAUGUGAAUUGCAGAAUUCCGUGAAUCAUCGAAUCUUUGAACGCACAUUGCGCCCUCUGGCAUUCCGGGGGGCAUGCCUGUCCGAGCGUCAUUACGCACCCUCAAGCCCGUCUUGUGUGAUGGGCCCCGGCGUCUCGUUCGCGAGACGGGCCCGAAAGGCAGCGGCGGCGUCGACCCGAUGAGCCCGAGCGUAUGGGGACUUCUGUCACACGUUCGCGGUGCGGACCGGCGCCUGCUUUGACUUUUCUGAUUAUCCAGGUUGACCUCGGAUCAGGUAGGGAUACCCGCUGAACUUAAGC